This 492-nucleotide ribosomal RNA is filed under the name uncultured bacterium. Its description in RNAcentral is "partial 16S ribosomal RNA". It matches the Rfam family "Bacterial small subunit ribosomal RNA", at positions 29 to 507 of the family's 1533-position model. The record is from RNAcentral.
AGUGAACGCUGGCGGCAGGCCUAACACAUGCAAGUCGAACGGCAGCACAGUAAGAGCUUGCUCUUACGGGUGGCGAGUGGCGGACGGGUGAGGAAUACAUCGGAAUCUACUUUUUCGUGGGGGAUAACGUAGGGAAACUUACGCUAAUACCGCAUACGACCUACGUGUGAAAGCAGGGGAUCUUCGGACCUUGCGCGAUUGAAUGAGCCGAUGUCGGAUUAGCUAGUUGGCGGGGUAAAGGCCCACCAAGGCGACGAUCCGUAGCUGGUCUGAGAGGAUGAUCAGCGACACUGGAGCUGAGACACGGUCCAGACGCCUACGGGAGGCAGCAGUGGGGAAUAUUGGACAAUGGGCGGAAGCCUGAUCCAGCCAUGCCGCGGGGGUGAAGAAGGCCGUCGGGUUGUAAAGCCCUUUUGUUGGGAAAGAAGAGCAGCAGGUUAAUACCCCGCUGUUCUGACGGUACCCAAAGAAUAAGCACCGGCUAACUUCGUG